GCCCUAGUAACGGCGAGUGAAGCGGCAACAGCUCAAAUUUGAAAUCUGGCCUCGCGGCCCGAGUUGUAAUUUGCAGAGGAUGCUUCUGGCGCGGUGCCUUCCGAGUUCCCUGGAACGGGACGCCACAGAGGGUGAGAGCCCCGUAUGGUCGGACACCAAGCCUGUGUGAAGCUCCUUCGACGAGUCGAGUAGUUUGGGAAUGCUGCUCAAAAUGGGAGGUAAAUCUCUUCUAAAGCUAAAUACCGGCCAGAGACCGAUAGCGCACAAGUAGAGUGAUCGAAAGAUGAAAAGCACCUUGAAAAGGGGGUUAAACAGUACGUGAAAUUGUUGAAAGGGAAGCGCUCGUGACCAGACUUGCGCCGGGCGGCUCAUCAGGGGUUCUCCCUUGUGCACUCCGCCCGGCUCAGGCCAGCAUCGGUUUUCGCUGGGGGAGAAGAGCGGUGGGAAUGUGGCCCUCUCGGGGGUGUUAUAGCCCGCCGCACGAUGCCCUAGCGGGGACCGAGGUCUGCGCUCCGCAAGGAUGCUGGCGUAAUGGUCAUCAGCGACCCGUCUUGAAACACGGACCAAGGAGUCGUCCAUUGGAGCGAGCGUCUGGGUGUCAAACCCGCACGCGUAAUGAAAGUGAAAUUAGGUGAGAGCCUCGGCGCAUCAUCGACCGAUCCUGAUGUUCUCGGAUGGAUUUGAGUAAGAGUUUCAACGGACGGACCCGAAAGACAGUGAACUAUGCUUGUAUAGGGUGAAGCCAGAGGAAACUCUGGUGGAGGCUCGCAGCGGUUCUGACGUGCAAAUCGAUCGUCAAAUAUGAGCAUGGGGGCGGUAAGCAUUCAACCCUUCCACCACACACAACAGACACUUGGAACGAAACAGACACUAAUCAUACUUCUCUUACA
RNAcentral lists this ribosomal RNA (890 nucleotides) under Melanconiella sp. YG-2022a. Its description in RNAcentral is "partial large subunit ribosomal RNA". It matches the Rfam family "Eukaryotic large subunit ribosomal RNA", at positions 77 to 949 of the family's 3401-position model. Lineage: Eukaryota; Fungi; Ascomycota; Sordariomycetes; Diaporthales; Melanconiellaceae. The record is from RNAcentral.